This 718-nucleotide ribosomal RNA is filed under the name uncultured bacterium. Its description in RNAcentral is "bacterial SSU rRNA". It matches the Rfam family "Bacterial small subunit ribosomal RNA", at positions 90 to 793 of the family's 1533-position model. The record is from RNAcentral.
GACGAGUGGCGAACUGGGGAGUAACACGUGGGUAACCUGCCCUUGAAGUAGGGGAUAACACUUGGAAACAGGUGCUAAUACCGUAUAACAACCAAAACCACCUGGUUUUGGUUUAAAAGAUGGCUUCGGCUAUCACUUUAGGAUGGACCCGCGGCGUAUUAGCUUGUUGGUAAGGUAACGGCCUACCAAGGCAAUGAUACGUAGCCGACCUGAGAGGGUAAUCGGCCACAUUGGGACUGAGACACGGCCCAAACUCCUACGGGAGGCAGCAGUAGGGAAUCUUCCACAAUGGACGAAAGUCUGAUGGAGCAACGCCGCGUGAGUGAUGAAGGGUUUCGGCUCGUAAAACUCUGUUGUUGGAGAAGAACAGGUGUGAGAGUAACUGUUCACAUCUUGACGGUAUCCAACCAGAAAGCCACGGCUAACUACGUGCCAGCAGCCGCGGUAAUACGUAGGUGGCAAGCGUUGUCCGGAUUUAUUGGGCGUAAAGCGAGCGCAGGCGGUUUCUUAGGUCUGAUGUGAAAGCCUUCGGCUUAACCGGAGAAGUGCAUCGGAAACCAGGAGACUUGAGUGCAGAAGAGGACAGUGGAACUCCAUGUGUAGCGGUGAAAUGCGUAGAUAUAUGGAAGAACACCAGUGGCGAAGGCGGCUGUCUGGUCUGUAACUGACCCUGAGGCUCGAAAGCAUGGGUAGCGAACAGGAUUAGAUACCCUGGUAG